This 798-nucleotide ribosomal RNA is filed under the name uncultured bacterium. RNAcentral describes it as "bacterial SSU rRNA". It matches the Rfam family "Bacterial small subunit ribosomal RNA", at positions 8 to 808 of the family's 1533-position model. The record is from RNAcentral.
AGAGUUUGAUUCUGGCUCAGGAUGAACGCUGCGGCGUGCUUAACACAUGCAAGUCGAACGGGAAAUAUUUCAUUGAGACUUCGGUGGAUUUGAUCUAUUUCUAGUGGCGGACGGGUGAGUAACGCGUGGGUAACCUGCCUUAUACAGGGGGAUAACAGUCAGAAAUGGCUGCUAAUACCGCAUAAGCGCACAGAGCUGCAUGGCUCAGUGUGAAAAACUCCGGUGGUAUAAGAUGGACCCGCGUUGGAUUAGCUGGUUGGUGGGGUAACGGCCCACCAAGGCGACGAUCCAUAGCCGGCCUGAGAGGGUGAACGGCCACAUUGGGACUGAGACACGGCCCAGACUCCUACGGGAGGCAGCAGUGGGGAAUAUUGCACAAUGGGGGAAACCCUGAUGCAGCGACGCCGCGUGAAGGAAGAAGUAUCUCGGUAUGUAAACUUCUAUCAGCAGGGAAGAUAGUGACGGUACCUGACUAAGAAGCCCCGGCUAACUACGUGCCAGCAGCCGCGGUAAUACGUAGGGGGCAAGCGUUAUCCGGAUUUACUGGGUGUAAAGGGAGCGUAGACGGUGUGGCAAGUCUGAUGUGAAAGGCAUGGGCUCAACCUGUGGACUGCAUUGGAAACUGUCAUACUUGAGUGCCGGAGGGGUAAGCGGAAUUCCUAGUGUAGCGGUGAAAUGCGUAGAUAUUAGGAGGAACACCAGUGGCGAAGGCGGCUUACUGGACGGUAACUGACGUUGAGGCUCGAAAGCGUGGGGAGCAAACAAAAUUAGAUACCCUGGUAGUCCACGCCGUAAACG